This is an RNA transcript of Homo sapiens (human), 4364 nucleotides long. It is a transcript of the gene named uncoupling protein 3, with no coding region annotated. Lineage: Eukaryota; Metazoa; Chordata; Mammalia; Primates; Hominidae. The record is from RefSeq and is marked reviewed. The transcript has 7 exons.
AGAGACAACAGUGAAUGACAAGGAGGGGCCAUCCAAUCCCUGCUGCCACCUCCUGGGAUGGAGCCCUAGGGAGCCCCUGUGCUGCCCCUGCCGUGGCAGGACUCACAGCCCCACCGCUGCACUGAAGCCCAGGGCUGUGGAGCAGCCUCUCUCCUUGGACCUCCUCUCGGCCCUAAAGGGACUGGGCAGAGCCUUCCAGGACUAUGGUUGGACUGAAGCCUUCAGACGUGCCUCCCACCAUGGCUGUGAAGUUCCUGGGGGCAGGCACAGCAGCCUGUUUUGCUGACCUCGUUACCUUUCCACUGGACACAGCCAAGGUCCGCCUGCAGAUCCAGGGGGAGAACCAGGCGGUCCAGACGGCCCGGCUCGUGCAGUACCGUGGCGUGCUGGGCACCAUCCUGACCAUGGUGCGGACUGAGGGUCCCUGCAGCCCCUACAAUGGGCUGGUGGCCGGCCUGCAGCGCCAGAUGAGCUUCGCCUCCAUCCGCAUCGGCCUCUAUGACUCCGUCAAGCAGGUGUACACCCCCAAAGGCGCGGACAACUCCAGCCUCACUACCCGGAUUUUGGCCGGCUGCACCACAGGAGCCAUGGCGGUGACCUGUGCCCAGCCCACAGAUGUGGUGAAGGUCCGAUUUCAGGCCAGCAUACACCUCGGGCCAUCCAGGAGCGACAGAAAAUACAGCGGGACUAUGGACGCCUACAGAACCAUCGCCAGGGAGGAAGGAGUCAGGGGCCUGUGGAAAGGAACUUUGCCCAACAUCAUGAGGAAUGCUAUCGUCAACUGUGCUGAGGUGGUGACCUACGACAUCCUCAAGGAGAAGCUGCUGGACUACCACCUGCUCACUGACAACUUCCCCUGCCACUUUGUCUCUGCCUUUGGAGCCGGCUUCUGUGCCACAGUGGUGGCCUCCCCGGUGGACGUGGUGAAGACCCGGUAUAUGAACUCACCUCCAGGCCAGUACUUCAGCCCCCUCGACUGUAUGAUAAAGAUGGUGGCCCAGGAGGGCCCCACAGCCUUCUACAAGGGGUGAGCCUCCUCCUGCCUCCAGCACUCCCUCCCAGAGAACAGGGGCUUCUUUCUUUUCGAAUGUGGCUACCGUGGGUCAACCUGGGAUGUAGCGGUGAAGAGUACAGAUGUAAAUGCCACAAAGAAGAAGUUUAAAAAACCAUGCAAGUAAAAGAAAAAAAGUGAACCAUACCUGAUGGGGAGGGUUAGGGAAGCCUGACUGAGAACAAACACUCCAGGAAUAGGUAAAAGUACUGCCUGUCUCCAGAGGAAGUUAGCAAUCCUGAGACCUCCUGGACCUCCUGCCAUGGCCAUUGAGCACCACACUGACCAUGGCCAGUGCCUUCCUCACUGUCUCCACACGCUCCACGUUUUCUUGCACUUACUGCUCCCUCUGCGUGGAAUGCCUCAUCAUCUACAGGCUGUCAAUUUUAGCCAUCCUUCAAGACGAGUUCAAAUGCCACCUCCUCCCUAACACUCUCAGGUGUAAAUUUUUCCUCCUCCCUGGGAACUUCUGCAAUGCCAUUUGAUACCAUUUUUAUGGUAUUUAUCACCUCCUGCCUUGUAUUAUAGUAUUUGUAAGCUUAAAUUAUUCCUCAUGCAAAGAGCAAGUUCCUGACAGCAAAAGUGGCUCAGACAUCUUUUAUCUCCCACAGUCCCUCACACAAAGUGAGCACUCGAUAAUGCAGGUUGUUUAUGAUUAUCACAAUAGCUAAGUCACUCUAUAUUAGGCCUCGUGCUGAGCACUUUACACACGUUAUCCCAACAGCCCCUUGAACUGGGUAGUAUUGUCCACAUUAACUAAGGAAAAGACUGAGUGUCAGAAAAGUUAAGUAACUUAUCCAAGAUCACAGGUUAAAAUGGUGGAGCCAUGGCUCAAACCCUGACCGUCAGACACCACACCCAACAAUGUUGUUUAUCCUACUGGUAAGCUCUUAGCUUGGCCCUUUCACCUCCCACUGCUGAUGUCUUCAACAGAGAGUUUUUUGGUGCCCAGUGUUAGAAUGGACCCAACAAGUGAACAAGAGCUGCUAUAGGUUCUCAAGCCUGGGAAUGACGUAAUAAAACUAUACUGCAAUUGACAGACUGUUCUUCCAAAAAGUGCCUCUAUCAUUACAGUCUUCAGCUGUAGCCACUUGUCUCAGUUACUGCUUUCACUUGUCCAACAUUUCUGGAGCAUCUUGUAGGUGCCAGGCCCUGGGUUAUGCCUCCCUCAAAGAGCAGCAGAUAAGUUGGUGGUAUUUACUGAGCAUGUAUUGAUGCUGGGCCCUGUGCUGAGUGCUGUCCAACAUUAACUCACCUAAUCUGCACGACUAACUCCACAAGGCAGAUACUGUUAUUUUCCUCAUUUUACAGAUAAGGAAACUGAGGCUUAGAAAGAUUAAGUGAUGUGUCCAGAUUGUAAAGCUAGAAACUGGGAGAGCUUGGAUUUGAACCCAGGUCUGACUCCAGAGUUUACAUUUGUUGUCACAGUACUAUCGUCCCCACAAGAGUCAAGAAAACCCAUGGCAUGAGGUCACAGUGCCCAAACUGAGUCCUCCAGAGCAAAGAGCAACCAGCCAGGGAAGGAGGAGAGGAGGGGACAGUCCAGGCAGAGGGAGCAAGAGGAGCAAAGGCAUGGAGGGAAGAGGGCCUGGCAUCGUCAGGGAAUGUGACUAGCUGAGUCUGGUGGGAGCAAACGGGCCCAGGAGGUGGUUAGUGGAGGGACAGGCUGAGAGAGGGGCAGGGGCCAGCUCGUGGGCUUCUCCCUGAGUUGGUGAGCCACAGCUGAGGUGGGGACACUGUGCUAUGCCAUCACAGCACAGCCAGCCUCUCUGGAGAAGAGCUAAAUCUGGUGCCACACUGUAUUCACCCUGCAAAGCCCAAGCUUCUCCAUGUCCUGGCAGGGGGCCAUGUUAGGGCUGGCCACCCGGGGUGUAACUGAGCCCAGAAACACCCAGCAGCAGGGUGGAGUUAGAACCGCACCUCUGACACUUACUAGCCGCGGGUCUUUGGUUGAGCUCUUAACCUCCCUGGGCCUCAGUUUGUGAAAAAGAGCCUGGCAGCAACAUGGCUGCCUUAUAGAACUGUGAGAAUUCGCUGCCUAACACAGUAACCCGUCUCAAAACAUUUACACCCUCCUUUUUGCGUUUGGGAUCCUGGAACGUGGUGAUGUUCGUAACCUAUGAGCAGCUGAAACGGGCCCUGAUGAAAGUCCAGAUGUUACGGGAAUCACCGUUUUGAACAAGACAAGAAGGCCACUGGUAGCUAACGUGUCCGAAACCAGUUAAGAAUGGAAGAAAACGGUGCAUCCACGCACACAUGGACACAGACCCACACAUGUUUACAGAACUGUUGUUUACUUGUUGCUGAUUCAAGAAACAGAAGUAGAAGAGGAGGAGGGAUUCUGGUCUUCACUGCCAUGCCUCAAGAACACCUUUGUUUUGCACUGACAAGAUGGAAAAUAAAUUAUAUUAAUUUUUGAAACCCAUUAGGCAUGCCUAAUAUUUAGGCAAGAGAAAAUAAACCAAGAUAGAUCCAUUUGGACAAAAUGGAAGGUUGGAGACGUGUAUCCCCGUGAAAUCUGGUUAGAUAAUGAAUGAUAAGCAGGAAGGAUGGCAAGCACGGGACAGGAGGGGCCCACAAUGGAGUGGGAGAUCAGCCACGGAGCCUGGAGGGAUGCCACCCAGCAACACAGAGCUGGCGACUGCAGCUGCACCAUCACACAUGCAUCAUCAGCCUAUUUGUAAUAUGUCUGCCACAGAGAGUCCUUUGGGAUUCUAGGAAACCCAAGGAACAAGAGAAAAAACUAGAGCCUGUGCUAAAGAAGCCCUGCUGGGCCCAUGUGAGGCUGGGGCUCGUAAAUAUUCCCUGACGACACUGAAGAAUCAAGAGGGCAGCCCCCACUUUCCUACAAAAUGGAGGGAGCCAUCCCUUCCCUGUCCACCUCACCAGGGGUGCUAUGACAUGCAAGUGAGAAGCUGGGCAUGAACGCACUUUAUAAAAGCAAAAGCUCUGUGUAAAUCUAACUACAAGGACAAUGCCUUGGGAGAGAUUUUGUCGGGACAGAGAGGAGUUGCCAGGGAAGAAGGUUUGAAAGAUACGGUUGUCUAGAGGUGAGACCAAAGGAUCCAGAGACUUGGGGACCAGAGGUGACAGUGGAUGACGUGAAGCCACAGGAGCCCCACCCCCAUGCAGCCUCUUCCCCACCCCCCCCACCACGUGCUCAAUCAUGAGUACCUCAAAGGAUUGUUGGGCUUGGGGGAAAAGAGGUGGAUUCCUGGGCAAGAACCUAAAGUAGCAGGACUCGGAAUUCUCGGGAAAUUAUUAUGACUCAAUAAAAGAAUUCACACCUUAGGUGUGGGAGUAAGAACAGCCA